CCUGAACGCUGGCGGCGUGGCUAAGACAUGCAAGUCGCACGGACCCGCAAGGGUUAGUGGCGAACGGGUGAGUAAUGAAUCGCUAAUGUACCCCGGACUCUGGGAUAGCCGGCCGAAAGGCCGGGUAAUACCAGAUGAUAUAACCGCUCCGCAUGGAGUGGUUCUCAAAGGUCCGCCGGUCUGGGAGCAGGCGAUUUCGUAUCAGCUAGUUGGUGAGGUAACGGCUCACCAAGGCGACGACGCGUAGCCGGACUGAGAGGUUGGCCGGCCACAUUGGGACUGAGACACUGCCCAGACUCCUACGGGGGCUGCA
Molecule: ribosomal RNA, 313 nt
Filed under: uncultured bacterium
Lineage: Bacteria
Description: bacterial SSU rRNA
Rfam family: Bacterial small subunit ribosomal RNA
Source: RNAcentral